GACGAACGCUGGCGGCGUGCUUAACACAUGCAAGUCGAACGGAAAGGCCCUGCUUUUGUGGGGUGCUCGAGUGGCGAACGGGUGAGUAACACGUGAGUAACCUGCCCUUGACUUUGGGAUAACUUCAGGAAACUGGGGCUAAUAUCGGAUAGGAGCUCCUGAUGCAUGGUGGGGGUUGGAAAGUUUCGGCGGUUGGGGAUGGACUAGCGGCUUAUCAGCUUGUUAGUGGGGUAGUGGCUUACCAAGGCUUUGACGGGUAGCCGGCCUGAGAGGGUGACCGGCCACCCUGGCACCUACAUGCGGCCGAGGUUCCUCCGGUACGCAGCAGUGAGGAAUAGUGCCCGAUCGACGGAAGCCGAAUGCUGCAACGCCGCGUGUCGGAUGACUGUCUUCUGAUUGUAGACCACUUUCGCAUGUAACUGUGCGUAUCUGACGGUAAUGGGAUCAGAAGCCCCGGCUAACUACGUG
Molecule: ribosomal RNA, 468 nt
Filed under: uncultured bacterium
Lineage: Bacteria
Description: partial 16S ribosomal RNA
Rfam family: Bacterial small subunit ribosomal RNA
Source: RNAcentral